RNAcentral lists this ribosomal RNA (655 nucleotides) under Escherichia coli O157:H7 str. 1044. Its description in RNAcentral is "LSU rRNA". It matches the Rfam family "Bacterial large subunit ribosomal RNA", at positions 1 to 696 of the family's 2925-position model. The record is from RNAcentral. Lineage: Bacteria; Pseudomonadati; Pseudomonadota; Gammaproteobacteria; Enterobacterales; Enterobacteriaceae.
GGUUAAGCGACUAAGCGUACACGGUGGAUGCCCUGGCAGUCAGAGGCGAUGAAGGACGUGCUAAUCUGCGAUAAGCGUCGGUAAGGUGAUAUGAACCGUUAUAACCGGCGAUUUCCGAAUGGGGAAACCCAGUGUGUUUCGACACACUAUCAUUAACUGAAUCCAUAGGUUAAUGAGGCGAACCGGGGGAACUGAAACAUCUAAGUACCCCGAGGAAAAGAAAUCAACCGAGAUUCCCCCAGUAGCGGCGAGCGAACGGGGAGGAGCCCAGAGCCUGAAUCAGUGUGUGUGUUAGUGGAAGCGUCUGGAAAGGCGCGCGAUACAGGGUGACAGCCCCGUACACAAAAAUGCACAUGCUGUGAGCUCGAUGAGUAGGGCGGGACACGUGGUAUCCUGUCUGAAUAUGGGGGGACCAUCCUCCAAGGCUAAAUACUCCUGACUGACCGAUAGUGAACCAGUACCGUGAGGGAAAGGCGAAAAGAACCCCGGCGAGGGGAGUGAAAAAGAACCUGAAACCGUGUACGUACAAGCAGUGGGAGCACAGAGCAAUCUGUGUGACUGCGUACCUUUUGUAUAAUGGGUCAGCGACUUAUAUUCUGUAGCAAGGUUAACCGAAUAGGGGAGCCGAAGGGAAACCGAGUCUUAACUGGGCGUU